GUCAGCCGUUCCUCAAGGGAGGCGCGAUGGCGAUCAGGGUUUAGGGACGGCGACUGGCGGGCAAGCGGCAGGCAGGUUGGUGAGCGCCACAGCUAGUGCAGCCUGUCAGUCGGCGGGCAAGUGCGCCCUGGCUGCCUGCCUUUCUCUUGAACAAGAUCGAAUCGGACUUGUUGUCUCGCGCUUUAAUAAUACAGCGGAUGCCUGUCGACCUGUCUCUUCUCUUGGACAAGAUCGGACUCGUCGUCGCUCCCGGCGGCUGCCUGCCGGGCUGCCUCUUCCCUUGAACAAGAUCGGACUCGUCGUCGCACCCGGCGGCUACCUGCCGUCCUGCGGCCACGCACGGACGGCAGUGAAAGGCACUCUGCAAAAUCUGGAUCACCCCUUUAUUGGUGAGCACGUAGGCGUACCUUUCCCAGCGGCAGCAGAGAGCAGGGCGGCGUGUGUAGUUUUACUUUAAUUAAAAACUUGCGCGGCAGCAAGAGGAGGAAGGCAAAAGACAGUCGUUCGUCGUGUGUUGGUCUUGGAUGCGCCUGCCACGACAAACAGAAGAGUGGUAAAAAGAAUUCAAGAAAUUUAUAUACAUUUGCUGGCACAUCUAAAGGAGAAAUGGCACCCUGUCCAUGUACGAGAUGUCGUACAAUAUCCUACCGAACAAUUAAAGAAGUUAGAACUCAUUUGAUUUUUAGAGGGUUUUUUGAAAGUUUUAUCCAAGGAGAAGGAGAAUAAAAGAUUCAUUUGAGGGCAUCGGUGAAGUGGUUGGCAAUGAUGGUGCAACAGGUGAUUGUGAUUUCUAUGAGGAAUCUGGUUUCCUCACUAAUCAAUGGUGCAAUACAUGGAGACAUCAUGGAUAGUGAAACUGAAGAGCCGAAUGGAAGUGCUAAGACAUUCUUUAAAUUAUUAACAGAAGCGCAGAGGGAACUUUAUCCAAGUUGCAAGGAGGUUACUAAGGUCACUAUCUUAGUAACAGUGCAUUAGAGUCCAUUCUUCAGCUGUUCUCACUUGUGCUUCCUGAAGGUCACUGUGUUUAAGAUACUUUAGAGAAAGUGCAAAAGUUAGUCCGUGAUCUUGGCCUGGACUAUCAAAAGAUACAUGCAUGCAUCAAUGGUUGUAUUUUAUUUCGGAAGGAAUACGUUGACAUGGAUACAUGUCCAACAUGUGGUGAGUCUAGAUGGAAAACGACCGAUUCAAGUGAAAAGGAGGCAUCGAGUAGUGAUGCUGCAUUGAAGAAGCGUGUUCCACAUAAAUUCUUGAGCAGGAUAUUUGAACUUAAAUGGAUCACUUGAACUUGGAUGCCUUUCAUGGUCAACACAAGGAAUCAUGCAGUGCCAACCAGUGUUUGAUGUAGCCUACAUAAGAUAGACAUCGUCGUAGUGUUGAUUACCGAACACAAGCUAUCUAUGAACUAUUUUCAACUCGGAUAAUGUAUUGGGCACUUUACGUACUAUCUUUUACUGAUCGGCACAAUUGAUGAUGGAUUCAUUUCAUAUUCAUGAUGAUACAAUUCAUGUUUUUGCACAA
Long non-coding RNA from Panicum hallii, 1518 nucleotides. RefSeq lists it as uncharacterized. NCBI's taxonomy places the organism in Eukaryota, Viridiplantae, Streptophyta, Magnoliopsida, Poales, Poaceae. The transcript has 5 exons. The record is from RefSeq and is a predicted model, not a curated record.